Molecule: RNA transcript, 1546 nt
Organism: Nymphaea colorata (pocket water lily)
Lineage: Eukaryota; Viridiplantae; Streptophyta; Magnoliopsida; Nymphaeales; Nymphaeaceae
Gene name: putative RING-H2 finger protein ATL50
Exons: 3
Source: RefSeq, a predicted model, not a curated record
GUAGAUUUCAUCUCCUGGCUUUCAUCUUAAUUAGCGAAAUCUAUUCAUGGGGUCGAUGAUUAACAACCAGCGGUUUAACCCGAAUCAUUUGCAGUAUCACUGGUAGGGCGAACGUGGACACAAAUGCGCGAAAUAAGGAGGAUCUGUCCUAUUUUCCCUCCCUUUCUUGUCGUCAAAUUGUCCCCAUCCAUCGUUAUCUUAUUCUUGGUUGGUUCUCAAUGUGGGUUGUUUUGGGAGCCAAUUUUUUCUCGUGGGUUACUGCUUGGCAGCCAUGAUGAUCUCCGGAAUGAACAUUGUGAUGACUGUACUUGGCUCUGUGUUCAUCAUCUCUGUGCGCACCAGGUUGGUCUGCACGAGGAUAGCGUCCAGGCGGCGGCAGCGGGAAGAUCUGCGCCUAAAUGUAGAAUUGGUGAGCUUGGUUGAAGAUCACUCUGUCUUGUUUUAGUUGGGUCUGGCAACUUUUUUCUUUUUAUUAGGUUAUGAGAGUGGCGACCGUGCAGUGGGUGCAGAAUUUGGCAUAACUGCAAGUAGCAAGUUGGGUUUCAGCAGAACUCUUCUAUGCCUGGUCGUAGUUCUGAUAUUUGCUCUGCUUUUUAGUAGAUUCCCCGUUUUGAUGGAGAUUUGGCUUCAGUUUGAAGUUUGGAAAGCUGAGAUUGUUGAUCACGGAGAGUUUUCAACAGACUUCUGCUUGAAGAAGGAGCAAACAUACAUGAAUUGGAAGAAGUUAUUGUUGCAAAGUUUCCUACGACAAAUUUCAAUAGUGAUGAUUUCCCUUCUAAAGAAUAUGCCCAGUGCUCGAUAUGCUUGGCGGGGCAGUAUCAAGGGAGGGACGUCUUGAAGACCAUGCCAAAGUGUGGCCAUGCAUUUCAUGUCGCUUGCAUAGACACAUGGCUGCUAAAAAAAUCAACUUGUCUAGUUUGCGGUUUACCAUUGAGAGAUGCUUAUCAUGAACAUCUCCUACAGUGGCUAUGGCCAUCCAAAGAACAGAAAGUCCAGAUAGAGACACCAUUACUGGACCCGGAAGGAUGACCUCAUCAGCUAACGGUAGAAGCUCCACGAUUUUCACCUCAUUGUGGCAAACACAGCACACCUUGAAAGGGGGAGUUCCAUUUUUCGGAUGUUUUAGCAGUUGGUGUCCAUGGCUUUGAUGAUCCAUUCCAAUUGCUGAUUUGGAUUGCUCAAUCUGGAGAAAUAGGCAGGCAAUUUGCACUGGACAAGGUGCACAUGAAUGCGUGGAGAUUCUUACAGACGUAUGCUAUUAUUGUUCACGGGUCAGAAAGAAGUUACUAAUUCUCCUGCAUUUCUUGAAAAAAUCCCAGCAUUUCUGCCAUGCUUUCGAAUGCUUUACUCAGGAAGCGGCUCCAAAACCAAUGCCAUUAACAUACCGGCGCAUCGACGUGUUGUUAUCCAUCAGCACCAUGUAACCAACCUUAUAUUGAUAGGUCACAGGAUGAGAAACAAGCACCUGCAGAAACUAGGAACCGGUAUUUGGAGCAAAGACAACCAAAUUGAUAUUGGAUGAGUAAAGUGAUUAUGUUUAUUUGAA